Betta splendens (Siamese fighting fish) is the source of this 1413-nucleotide long non-coding RNA. RefSeq lists it as uncharacterized. The record is from RefSeq and is a predicted model, not a curated record. The transcript is spliced from 3 exons. NCBI's taxonomy places the organism in Eukaryota, Metazoa, Chordata, Actinopteri, Anabantiformes, Osphronemidae.
CGGAGCGCAGGUUCCGAAGGUCACGUCUCUUAUCACAGCAUCAAGAUCUGAGACGCGCCGCUUCCGCGCAGCGGUGAUGAUGUUGAGUCAGACUUGGAUUAGGUCUGAGAUCAUCUGCGGGUGCGGUUAAAUAGGGCGGCGGUUCGAGCUGGGCUGGAAGUGGCUGAGCAGAUAAACGCCCAGACGCCUGUGUGUGAGGCCGAGGCGGCUGCAGAGGGAUCGCUGUGUUUCCUGAUCCAGCAGAGACGUCUCAGACCCAACCCAGGUCCACUCCACAGCGGAUGUGCCUCUUCGCUGGGCCCUGGCAUUCUCCGGUUACUGAGUGCGCACGCAGACAGGUGGAUGCAUUCAUUCGUGUUUGCGUUCACUCUGCUCAGAGAGAUGAGAAGAAGAAUGAGGAGUGAUCCUAAAAGACGUUCACAAGUAGAGGACGCAUGGCAGCAGAGCUACAGCUAUGGACAAAAACACAACAAUAUACAAUAACACAACACUGCACAUAGUCCCAUCUUCAGGUCAGGUCUGCUGUGGUUUUUUAAACCUGCUUACUUGACUGUAGUUCUUGUGUCCAACUGAACCAGGUUGAUAGAAAGUCCUUCAUAAUGUGUUGCUAGGAAACAACACUCCAGUCCUUUGCUUUGUGAUUGGAUCAUCACAAGCUGCUACAUACAACAGAUAAUUCACAUUAUAUGUCACAUGAAUUUGUUUUCUAUACAGGAAGGAUUUAGUUUAAUGUACUUUUCUCCAUUUUAUUUUUAUUUGUGACUAAGUUUGUAAAGACAUUUAUGUGCUAUAACUCAGAAUGACAACGCUGCUACAGGUGGCAUUGAGAUGUGAGUCUUCAUCAGCUCCUCCUCGCUCUAAGUGGGUCGUAUAUUUGGGACAGCUGUCGGGGGUUAGAACGGCUCAUUCAUUUUGUUUCCUGGCACCUACGUUCUACAAACCGAGUCCUUCAGCAGCCAAUAAAGCUCUGAACGGCCCCGGUGGAUGUGCAGUUACCCUGGUUACAAAGCACAAUAUGGUAAAUAAAUGUAAACUGCAUUUUCCAGAGAAAGUGUGAAGUAGAUUAGAAGAAAUGAGGCUCCUGAGAAGCUCAAAGGUUCAGGUUUCCAGUCAGAUGCCAACGUCGUUGUGGUUCUCAUAAUGUGACGACAUGGACCUGUCGGUUCCUGCUUCCUGUUCCACCGUCUGCUGUAGGGUUCUGAGGCGUUCUCCUCAGUGUGGAAGCUGAGUGAGCGUCGUGUUCCUCAGCUGGAGAGUGAAUGGCAGGUCAUUAGGACCACGUGUGCGUAUCUCACAGGCCUGUUGUAAAUGUGCCAUGUUAUCUGAGCAGAGCAAACAAGCCCAACUGUACAAACGCUGUGGUUCGGCCAUGAAUGCCGGGCUGGAGCCGCUCCCCUCCGCACGCCGCUGCGC